AGGGGUAUAGCCCAGUAGUAGAGCAUGUGCUUGACGUGUGUAAGGUCCUGGGUUCGAUCCCCAGUUCCUCCA
Molecule: transfer RNA, 72 nt
Filed under: Camelus dromedarius (Arabian camel)
Lineage: Eukaryota; Metazoa; Chordata; Mammalia; Artiodactyla; Camelidae
Also listed under: 1 other name
Rfam family: tRNA
About the family: Transfer RNA (tRNA) molecules are approximately 80 nucleotides in length.
Source: Rfam by way of RNAcentral